Long non-coding RNA from Eriocheir sinensis (Chinese mitten crab), 4027 nucleotides. RefSeq lists it as uncharacterized. The record is from RefSeq and is a predicted model, not a curated record. The transcript has 3 exons. Lineage: Eukaryota; Metazoa; Arthropoda; Malacostraca; Decapoda; Varunidae.
AGGGUGUUAUGAAUGGCUUGGGAUUUGAGGGAAAGACAAUGACUUUGUAAACCUUCCAUUUCAUUCGGUAAUGUGGCUCAUGUGACGGUGCCGCCUGAGGGACCUUGGCAACAGGCGCCAGGCCGCACCAUUCACUCUUCCACCACCAUGGAAGACUCACUUACUAUCGUGUCCUGCACAGCCAAGCAAAAUAUAUUAUAUAUAACAUAAAUAAGAGAGAGAGAGAGAGAGAGAGAGAGAGAGAGAGAGAGAGAGAGAGAGAGAGAGAGAGAGAGAGAGAGAGAGAGAGAGAGAGGGUGGGGGGUGGGUAGCGAGCUGCUCUGAGGAGAGUGAUAGGGUCAUGUGGCAGAAGCGUGGCUCAGGGGAGCCGUGCCUAAAGGCUCAAGUUAGAUUCGAUAGACUAUAGUGAAGCAUGAAAAGCACAAAGUUGGCCUUCGAAGUAGAAAAAAGCAAGUUUUUCAGAUGUCUUGCAUGAAGACCAUCUUGUUAAAAUUGGAAAAUCAUUAUUUUGGAAGUUAGAAACCUUUGCUAGAAUCCUGGUCAAACUAAAGAAUGCAAGAAAAUUGACAUUGCAUGUACUCCAAAUGCAAUGCAUUGGAGGAAAGGGGAAGCUUGCAUCCAUCUGCCAGAUUAGACUGUUGAUGACAAUAUGGAAUACCACGUACAUAAUACAUUUUGCAUGAAUGAUUAGUUGGUCAUCACUACUGCUACAGUCCCCGCUGUGCGUGUGGGUGUGAGGGAAUGUAGAGUAGAGUGCGAGUUUUCGUUACUACUAAUCUAUUUGCUCGUUACAAUGUACAUUUGUGUUCCUGUAUUUGACCUGGUUGGGGUAUCCAAGAAUUGAGCCCAUGCAUAUGUUGUCAUACAGGCAGUCCUACUCAUCGGAGAGUUGGAAUGUAGCCUCAUACCCUUCCUGCUGGCAAGCAAGGAGCAACUGGUACUUGCACUGUUCCCUAUUCUCUUCUAAUUCGUGAAGGAUAUGUGCUCAAAAUGUGUCGGCCAUGCCCAACAUUGAUACCUGGGACUUCCAAAUUGAGAACUAAGAUUACAAAUCAUUGCACCAUUUGAUAUGUGUAUACAUGCCUGUGUGUGUGUGUGUGUGUGUGUGUGUGUGUACCAUUUUUGAACAUUGUUAAGCCUGGAACCUUUUUAUCCAAUUUCUUCUGCCAGUUUCUCUAAAUUUUUAAAGGCAUUGCAUAUAGGUUACUGAUGUUGCUUUUAAUUGCAACUUUUGCUCUUUGUCUAACUAUUAUUUUUUAGUACGAACUCUGAAUUGUAAAAACUUGGAGUUACAAGGUCUUGGGGUUGCCACAAUAUGCCUUGUGUGGAAGCUCAGGCAGUGUGAUGCUUUCCAAUAGUCCCUCUCAUCUGGGUAUCCCUUGAGAUCAGUGUUGGAGGCUGGUCAAAACAUAUUUCAAAGCUAAUGUCUUGGUGAAGGAAUAGGCUACAUGAAUCAAAAAGGGGACAUGGGAAACUUUAAUAAAUCAUUAGAGAAGAAACAGGUGACAGGAACUCUACAACCAUUGACACCAUUCAAUUCUAUUCUAUUUUAGCAUAUACCUAUUAGGUUUGAAGACAACACAGGGCUGUCAAAAGACAUGAUCUUAAUGGCUUUAGGUUUCUGGGAUAGUAUUAGGAGUCACGUAUUUAUUCUUUCGUGCUUUAAUCGUUAGCAGUUCCAUUAAGAGUUCUGUGGGGGCCGGAUGACUCAGUGGGUUUGGUACUUGGAAUGUGACCGAGAGGUUACAAGGUCAAUCCCCGCUCACUGCGUCUUCUCUUGUUAUCCUAGUUGAGCUUUAUGGUCUUAUCUGCCUAGCUUUGGGGAUUCUUUACUCACUGUUUGCCACCACUCGUCAAAAAUUUCUUGAUGGUAUCCUCACAGAAGCUCCCCUAACAUACACUAGCUUUUUUUUACAUUAACCCUUUUGCAUCCCCCUCCUUGACCCCUUGAUGAGACAGUAUAUAUCUGUGACAAAGCUCCUUGGCUAAACUUCUAUCACCCAUGGAUGGACUAUUUUUUUUACCUGCAGAAACACAUGCAUCUCUGCUACAUAAUUCUUCAGUCCCAAACAUCAAUUAUUGACGAAUAUUAACCAUAGUCUCUUACAUGUCACUAAAAAGGUAUGAUGAGUGCCAAACAAGUUCUAUUUUCACUUUCACUGUUUUUAUCACAAUGUGCAUUCAUGUUAACUGUGUAUGUGAUUGUGGACAAGUAAAUAGCACCCCAUUGAGAGCAUUUUUUACAUAUGGAAAAUAAUUUUAACCUGAAAGUAUUUGUCCAGGCUCAUUGUGCGCGCGUGUGUGUGUGUGUGUGUGUGUGUGUGAAUAUGACUUUUUAUAACCUGGUAAGUUCUUAUAAGGUAGAUCUAUGCUGUGUUUACCUGCCCCUCAGUUGUGUAAUGGGUCUGCACCUGUCACCUCCAGAGUCCAGUUUUACUGAUAAGGGUUGAGGACUAUAUUUGUAAAAAAAUGUGUAUUUUACUGCCCAUAAAAGAUAAGUAUAUUAUAUGUAUAACUACAAAAUAAAAACCCGAAUAAUUGGCAAAAAUUGAAGUGGCUUAAAUUACUGGUACCGAUAAUUAAUAAAAAGUGUUUUCAUGUUGUACUUUCGAUGAUUCUAAACCUGAAAGGUUACAGUUUGUUCUGAUUCCUUUUAUAAAAGCUGACGAGUACAAAUGCAACCGUGAAAAUUAUUCACUUGCCCAGAGUAUGUCAAUUUCCCUUAUAAGCCUGAAUGUUUCCUUUGAGAAACAGCAAGGUAAAGGUACAGUUGGGGGCAUGUGUCUUUGAGAAGAGGUAAGGUAAAGGUACAGCUGGGUCAUGUGUCCUUGAGAAGAGGUAAGGUAAAGGUACAGUUGGGGUAUGUGUCCUUGAGAAGAGGUAAGGUAAAGGUACAGUUGGGGUAUGUGUCCUUGAGAAGAGGUAAGGUAAAGGUACAGUUGGGGUAUGUGUCCUUGAGAAGAGGUAAGGUAAAGGUACAGUUGGGGCAUGUGUCCUUGAGAAGAGGUAAGGUAAAGGUACAGUUGGGGUAUGUGUCCUUGAGAAGAGGUAAGGUAAAGGUGUAGUGCGGCGACGGCCUGAUGAACGAGCCUCCCAUAACCCACUUAGCCAGGGGGGUACCUCUUUGGCCGACUCGGUAAGGAGUGGCUCUCCCGUCACGCUGGUCGCGGGUUCAAUCCCAGGCAGCCGGGGAAUACCCUCACUUUGAUUAAUUUCUCGUGUUAUUUCGAUACACGCAGAGGCCGUGUUGAGAAAUAGGAAGGAUGGAAAAAUAAGCUCGUCGGGGCAUUACGAAGGUACAGUUGGGGACACAGGCCAUAGCAGCGUGUGGACUCGGUGGUCAUCUCCAUCAUUGGCCCUUGAUGCCGUGGUGGGUCAGACCCAUUGCCCUGGACUAAGGGCAAGUGUGGCAUCUGGGUUACCAUAAUUUAUCUUCCCUAGGUAUCCAUUUACUGACCAACCCGAGAGGGAUGACAAUUGACAAACAGCUGGGUGAGCUGUGAGCCGUCUGCCUGCGCCGGGAUUGUAACCCGGGCCCAUAUGUUUACAGGGUGCUCGAGUGGUCAUCACGCGGACGUGGUGAUACAGAGAUUCACAUUCAAGUCCUGCUGCAACUAAGUGACAAUUUUCAGUGAUCACCGAGUGAGCAAAGACAACCCAUAUGCUGUUGUGGCUAUCACCUAUUAACCCUGACUUCAGUCUGCCAUUAAGAGCUUGGUUGACAUCGAAGGGAGCUGUUCCGCCAUUUAAGAGGGCUAGAUCACCCAAUGAGGAGUCCAUGGUUGCCAUCUGAGUGAGGUUAGGUUACUAUUCACGUGGUUACAUCUUGUCAAUAUCAUUAAGUGGGUAAUUAUGUAGUCUCCGUGGUGUCAAAUGCAACAACAAAAGGCUACAGGGCUACCCUUGAAACAAAAAGAGAAAUAUAGGCUACAGACAGGCUAGUAAGGUAUACGUGCAGGAACACAUUAUAUAGUGCCCAUGUCAAACAAUCUUAUCUAACCACGGUGACUUAACUACUAAUACAGGC